GUGCUCCUUUGGGCAGCUCACAUACUGACACUGAAAAGAUACAGAGAUUAGCGUGACCCAUGUGCAAAGAUGACACAUAAAUUCAUGUAGAUGCAGAAAAGAAA
Small nuclear RNA from Mustela putorius furo (domestic ferret), 104 nucleotides. NCBI's taxonomy places the organism in Eukaryota, Metazoa, Chordata, Mammalia, Carnivora, Mustelidae. The record is from Ensembl.